This 235-nucleotide long non-coding RNA is filed under the name Medicago truncatula (barrel medic). RNAcentral's name for it is "long non-coding RNA (MTRU_LNC000746)". Lineage: Eukaryota; Viridiplantae; Streptophyta; Magnoliopsida; Fabales; Fabaceae. The record is from RNAcentral.
GGUGACGGCGGAGUUGAUAGCAGCGGAUAGCUUUUCCAUGCAAAUGAUGAAGAGAUAAGGGGACAAUGGAUCACCUUGUCGGAGACCAUGAGAAGGUUUGAAAGACGGCAACUUGUUCCCAUUCCAAAGUAUAGAGUAGUUUGAUGAAGAGACACAAUGCAUGAUGAGUUUGAUGGUGAUGUCUGGAAACCCAAAAUCAUGGAGGCAGUUGCUUAGAAAUUCCCAGUUGACGUUG